RNAcentral lists this ribosomal RNA (651 nucleotides) under uncultured archaeon. RNAcentral describes it as "bacterial SSU rRNA". It matches the Rfam family "Archaeal small subunit ribosomal RNA", at positions 508 to 1157 of the family's 1478-position model. The record is from RNAcentral.
GCCUAAAGCGUCCGUAGCCGGCUUUGUAAGUUUUCGGUUAAAUCUAUAUGCUCAACAUAUAGGCUGCCGGGAAUACUGCAAAGCUAGGGAGUGGGAGAGGUAGACGGUACUCCGUAGGAAGGGGUAAAAUCCUUUGAUCUAUGGAUGACCACCUGUGGCGAAGGCGGUCUACCAGAACACGUUCGACGGUGAGGGAUGAAAGCUGGGGGAGCAAACCGGAUUAGAUACCCGGGUAGUCCCAGCUGUAAACUAUGCAAACUCAGUGAUGCAUUGGCUUGUGGCCAGUGCAGUGCCGCAGGGAAGCCGUUAAGUUUGCCGCCUGGGAAGUACGUACGCAAGUAUGAAACUUAAAGGAAUUGGCGGGGGAGCACCACAAGGGGUGAAGCCUGCGGUUCAAUUGGAGUCAACGCCAGAAAUCUUACCCGGAGAGACAGCAGGAUGAAGGUCAAGCUGAAGACUUUACCAGACAAGCUGAGAAGUGGUGCAUGGCCGUCGCCAGCUCGUGCCGUGAGGUGUCCUGUUAAGUCAGGUAACGAGCGAGAUCCUUGCCUCUAGUUGCCACCAUUACUCUCAGGAGUAGUGGGGCGAAUUAGCGGGACUGCCGUAGUUAAUACGGAGGAAGGAGAGGGCCACGGCAGGUCAGUAUGCCCC